AUGGCUGCGCGUGCAUACGACAUUGCCGCGUGGCAUUUCGGCUGGCCGAGGCACGAGAUGAACGUUCCAGAGAUCAAAACUCAGGUAGACACAGAGUUAAUUGGGCCGAAGAAUCUUAACACUCGGCGGAUGGAUGAGAAGAAGGAGGAGGAGGAGGAGAAGAAGAAGUCGGCGAUUCUCGUUGCUCCCGCGAUAGUGAUGACACAACGAUUUCGAGGUUCGCGUGGGAGCAUCUGGAGUAUGUCCAGGCCGAGCGUGAGUUCUUCCAAAAACACAAGGCCGAGCAGAAGAAGAAGGCGAUGA
Molecule: ribosomal RNA, 303 nt
Filed under: Triticum aestivum (bread wheat)
Lineage: Eukaryota; Viridiplantae; Streptophyta; Magnoliopsida; Poales; Poaceae
Description: partial small subunit ribosomal RNA
Source: RNAcentral